GCGCCCGUAGCUCAGCUGGAUAGAGCGUCUGCCUCCGGAGCAGAAGGCCACAGGUUCGAAUCCUGUCGGGCGCACCA
RNAcentral lists this transfer RNA (77 nucleotides) under Gemmatimonadota bacterium. RNAcentral describes it as "Gemmatimonadetes bacterium (beach sand metagenome) tRNA-Arg". It matches the Rfam family "tRNA". Rfam says of the family: Transfer RNA (tRNA) molecules are approximately 80 nucleotides in length. Their secondary structure includes four short double-helical elements and three loops (D, anti-codon, and T loops). Further hydrogen bonds mediate the characteristic L-shaped molecular structure. tRNAs have two regions of fundamental functional importance: the anti-codon, which is responsible for specific mRNA codon recognition, and the 3' end, to which the tRNAs corresponding amino acid is attached (by aminoacyl-tRNA synthetases). tRNAs cope with the degeneracy of the genetic code in two manners: having more than one tRNA (with a specific anti-codon) for a particular amino acid; and 'wobble' base-pairing, i.e. permitting non-standard base-pairing at the 3rd anti-codon position. The record is from RNAcentral. Lineage: Bacteria; Pseudomonadati; Gemmatimonadota. RNAcentral also lists the same sequence under 1 other name.